AUUGAACGCUGGCGGCAGGCCUAACACAUGCAAGUCGAGCGGAUGAAGGGAGCUUGCUCCUGGAUUCAGCGGCGGACGGGUGAGUAAUGCCUAGGAAUCUGCCUGGUAGUGGGGGAUAACGUCCGGAAACGGGCGCUAAUACCGCAUACGUCCUGAGGGAGAAAGUGGGGGAUCUUCGGACCUCACGCUAUCAGAUGAGCCUAGGCCGGAUUAGCUAGUUGGUGGGGUAAAGGCCUACCAAGGCGACGAUCCGUAACUGGUCUGGGAGGAUGAUCAGUCACACUGGAACUGAGACACGGUCCAGACUCCUACGGGAGGCAGCAGUGGGGAAUAUUGGACAAUGGGCGAAAGCCUGAUCCAGCCAUGCCGCGUGUGUGAAGAAGGUCUUCGGAUUGUAAAGCACUUUAAGUUGGGAGGAAGGGCAGUAAGUUAAUACCUUGCUGUUUUGACGUUACCAACAGAAUAAGCACCGGCUAACUUCGUG
This 484-nucleotide ribosomal RNA is filed under the name uncultured bacterium. RNAcentral's name for it is "partial 16S ribosomal RNA". It matches the Rfam family "Bacterial small subunit ribosomal RNA", at positions 30 to 507 of the family's 1533-position model. The record is from RNAcentral.